ACUGAGCAAUAACAGGUCUGUGAUGCCCUUAGAUGUCCUGGGCCGCACGCGCGCUACACUGAAGGAAUCAGCGUGUCAUCCCUGGCCGACAGGCCCGGGUAACCCGUUGAACCUGCUUCGUGCUAGGGAUUGGGGCUUGCAAUUGUUCUCCAUGAACGAGGAAUUCCCAGUAAGCGCGAGUCAUAAGCUCGCGUUGAUUACGUCCCUGCCCUUUGUACACACCGCCCGUCGCUACUACCGAUUGAAUGAUUUAGUGAGGUCUUCGGACUGGUGCGCGGCGAUCGGUUCCACCGGCCGCCGAUGA
RNAcentral lists this ribosomal RNA (304 nucleotides) under Gynopygoplax sp. RNAcentral describes it as "SSU rRNA". It matches the Rfam family "Eukaryotic small subunit ribosomal RNA", at positions 1445 to 1749 of the family's 1831-position model. The record is from RNAcentral. Lineage: Eukaryota; Metazoa; Arthropoda; Insecta; Hemiptera; Cercopidae.